Molecule: long non-coding RNA, 520 nt
Filed under: Brassica napus (rape)
Lineage: Eukaryota; Viridiplantae; Streptophyta; Magnoliopsida; Brassicales; Brassicaceae
Description: long non-coding RNA (BNAP_LNC016161)
Source: RNAcentral
UGGCUAAAGCACUUUUUUGUUCAAACACUAACCCAGUUAAUUACCAAUGAACAUCUGAAUCAAGAGCAACAACUUCAAUUAACUAACUUCAAUCAAGAGCAACAACUUCAAUAAAAAAAAAAUAAAAAAAAUAAAAAAAAAAAAAAAAACUUCAAUCAACUAACUCGAAGCCCAUUUCGGGGCAGCCUCCGUAAUCUUGUUCUCUUCAACUAGGAUCUUCUUCAAGCAUUGUGACUUGUGAACAAAAGCUUCAACUUCAUCAGCCUGAAUCAAUAUACAACUUACAAUAUCUAAAUUCCUCAGCUUCACACAGCUUUUGUUCAGAGAAACCAACAACACUGAACCUGUCAAGUUUUUACAUCCUCUCAAACUCAACUCAACCAAACCAGUGCAAGAAGCUUAACAUCGAAACGACUUCUUUGUCGAAUAACAACUCGUUAAACAGAAAGAUAUUAUUCAGAUUUGUUGGCCUCUCUGUUUCCACCUCUGAACAUCUAGGGACGUCUCCUUCUUCAAAUUC